AACGCGAAGAACCUUACCUGGUCUUGACAUCCACAGAACUUUCCAGAGAUGAGAAUGUGCCUUCGGGAACCGUGAGACAGGUGCUGCAUGGCUGUCGUCAGCUCGUGUUGUGAAAUGUUGGGUUAAGUCCCGCAACGGGCGCAACCCUUAUCCUUUGUUGCCAGCGGUCCGGCCGGGAACUCAAAGGAGACUGCCAGUGAUAAACUGGAGGAAGGUGGGGAUGACGUCAAGUCAUCAUGGCCCUUACGACCAGGGCUACACACGUGCUACAAUGGCGCAUACAAAGAGAAGCGACCUCGCGAGAGCAAGCGGACCUCAUAAAGUGCGUCGUAGUCCGGAUUGGAGUCUGCAACUCGACUCCAUGAAGUCGGAAUCGCUAGUAAUCGUGGAUCAGAAUGCCACGGUGAAUACGUUCCCGGGUCUUGUACACACGC
This 434-nucleotide ribosomal RNA is filed under the name uncultured Escherichia sp. RNAcentral's name for it is "bacterial SSU rRNA". It matches the Rfam family "Bacterial small subunit ribosomal RNA", at positions 958 to 1393 of the family's 1533-position model. The record is from RNAcentral. Lineage: Bacteria; Pseudomonadati; Pseudomonadota; Gammaproteobacteria; Enterobacterales; Enterobacteriaceae.